UCUGCUUGGCUCAUUCAGGUUGUGUGUAGCUCAGUGAUUCUGGGCAGCUUCUGAGGCUUACAGGAACUCUGUGGGCAGCUGACCAUCUGUGCAGGGGAAGACAGAGAAAAAUCCUGCAUAGAAACAGGACCUAUGUCUUUUUCCUGCUUUAUUACUGAAUGAACACAUACCAGGCAAUUUGCAUGAAACAUGUAUGGAAGAGAGAGGGCUGGAUGAAGUCAAGGUGAAGCAAAGUCUAACAGCCACACAACAGCCGGAAAAGAAAUGGCCCUGGAAAGGUCUAGAGUAUGAUUUUGAGUCUGAGCAUCCUGCAGCUGCUACUCCCUGCUCGGUUUUCAGCACAGCUCACAUGGCACACCAGAGACACUGACUCAGCACGAUUUUACAGGCAUGGGCAAUAUGAUGUGGAUGAGCUUUGCUGAACAGCAAAAGAUGUGAAAUAAAUGUUGUGCCCAGGUAUACAUUUGGCUUGAGUAUGCUUAUUACAUUAAACUUGUAACUGUGCCAGCUGAAAAAAAAUGCAUUGGAUACUUCUGGAUAAGAUUUGGAUUUGUAAAUCUGGUGCACAUAAAUUGUCAGAACCUAAUUAGGCCAUAGGAUUCCACUCACUGUGGGUGAGCUGCAGGUAUUUUUAAAGAGCUCAGCACAAUACCCACAGAUGCAUGACACAGCCAGAGUGUUCAUUCCCCUCUAGAUGGAAACGCCCUGAACUAUGAAACUCCUAUCACUUUCAUUUUGAGGCUGUUUGGUAUGAAUGCCGACACAAUUCACCUGUAGGAGCUUUUUCUUUAUCUGCUAU
Zonotrichia leucophrys gambelii is the source of this 799-nucleotide long non-coding RNA. RefSeq lists it as uncharacterized. The transcript is spliced from 3 exons. The record is from RefSeq and is a predicted model, not a curated record. NCBI's taxonomy places the organism in Eukaryota, Metazoa, Chordata, Aves, Passeriformes, Passerellidae.